This 214-nucleotide ribosomal RNA is filed under the name Vibrio cholerae. RNAcentral describes it as "partial 16S ribosomal RNA". Lineage: Bacteria; Pseudomonadati; Pseudomonadota; Gammaproteobacteria; Vibrionales; Vibrionaceae. The record is from RNAcentral.
CUUAUCCUGUUGCCAUGCAGCGUAAUGGUGGGGAACUGCCAGGGAGACGUGCCGGUGAUAACCGGAGGAAGGUGGGGAGCGACGUCAAUCAUCAUGGCCCUUACGAGUAGGGCUACUUAUCCUGUUGCCAUGCAGCGUAAUGGUGGGGAACUGCCAGGGAGACGUGCCGGUGAUAACCGGAGGAAGGUGGGGAGCGACGUCAAUCAUCAUGGCC